UGGACCGUCAUCUCUUUACUG
Molecule: non-coding RNA, 21 nt
Filed under: Arabidopsis thaliana (thale cress)
Lineage: Eukaryota; Viridiplantae; Streptophyta; Magnoliopsida; Brassicales; Brassicaceae
Source: RNAcentral